AUUUGAUGAUAUCAAUGUUUGUACAUCUUUCAAAUCUAGUGUUGUUUCAGCUGAGCUGGAAGCCUGCUCACUGAUAUCAAGUGACAGGAGACACAAAAGUACUUUCAAGUAAAGAGAAAUCAAGUAACACGUGACAGUUUACAUGUGAUUCUACAUGGUCCAGAGACAGUAACUCCGUGGACAUGCUUCAAGGGUGGUGGGAAUGCUAUGCCCAGAAGACAGGAGGCAGCAUUUCUAAUGUGCAUGCCUGUGAGGACCCCGGUGUUCAGCCCUCCGUUAUGAAUUCACACAGACAGCACUGCGGCACACACACAGAUUUUGCUGCUGCUGCAAACCUGGGAUCACGGCUGCGAUGCAGAGAUCCUGCUGGCUGACUAUUUAAACCUGCAUUCGGAAGUCAUCACUCUGUACUGCUUGUGCGAUUGCAGACCAUUAGUUUCCUAAGCCCUUCUUUCCCUUUUUCCACCUGUAUAAUAAGGAAGUGAACGUGAUAGCCUGUUAGCAGUGUGACAGUGCUGACUUUUAGCCCCGAGACCGUAUUCAACAAGGGAAUGUUCUAACCUUCAUCUCCUGGAAGUCUCCUAUCUGUUACAUGCCCGGAGCUAUUACCCACUAAAGGACUUCACAUUUUUGAAUACUUAAACUGAAAGAAACAGAUAUGGGAGGAACUACAUAAAUCCAUUAUUGCAGCAGAAAUAUCUUUCUGCUUCAGGCAUAGAAGAUAAAUUGCCACCAAAGUGAUACAAAGUUGGUUUGAUUAUUUCAUUGGAUCAAAUAUAUCAUGCUGUCUUGAAAUCUGCUUUCAAGUCAAAAUUAAAGAAUUUUAC
Molecule: long non-coding RNA, 827 nt
Filed under: Anser brachyrhynchus (Pink-footed goose)
Lineage: Eukaryota; Metazoa; Chordata; Aves; Anseriformes; Anatidae
Description: lncRNA (ENSABRG00000021795.1)
Source: RNAcentral